GACGAACGCUGGCGGCGUGCUUAACACAUGCAAGUCGAACGGAAAGGCCCUGCUUUUGUUGGUUGCUCGAGUGGCGAACGGGUGAGUAACACGUGAGUAACCUGCCCUUGACUUUGGGAUAACUUCAGGAAACUGGGGCUAAUACCGGAUAGGAGCUCCUGCUGCAUGGUGGGGGUUGGAAAGUUUCGGCGGUUGGGGAUGGACUCGCGGCUUAUCCGCUUGUUGGUGGGGUAGUGGCUUACCAAGGCUUUGACGGGUAGCCGGCCUGAGAGGGUGACCGGCCACAUUGGGACUGAGAUACGGCCCAGACUCCUACGGGAGGCAGCAGUGGGGAAUAUUGCACAAUGGGCGGAAGCCUGAUGCAGCAACGCCGCGUGCGGGAUGACGGCCUUCGGGUUGUAAACCGCUUUCGCCUGUGACGAAGCGUGAGUGACGGUAAUGGGUAAAGAAGCACCGGCUAACUACGUG
This 468-nucleotide ribosomal RNA is filed under the name uncultured bacterium. Its description in RNAcentral is "partial 16S ribosomal RNA". It matches the Rfam family "Bacterial small subunit ribosomal RNA", at positions 28 to 507 of the family's 1533-position model. The record is from RNAcentral.